GUUUUUAUAGUUGAUGACAACGUCGGUUUUUCAGACCGGAGGUCUUGGUUAGUGUCCGAGUAAGAAUU
This 68-nucleotide transfer RNA is filed under the name Proteus anguinus (olm). RNAcentral's name for it is "tRNA-Glu". It matches the Rfam family "tRNA". From Rfam's summary of the family: Transfer RNA (tRNA) molecules are approximately 80 nucleotides in length. Lineage: Eukaryota; Metazoa; Chordata; Amphibia; Caudata; Proteidae. The record is from RNAcentral.